This 399-nucleotide ribosomal RNA is filed under the name Triticum aestivum (bread wheat). Its description in RNAcentral is "partial small subunit ribosomal RNA". Lineage: Eukaryota; Viridiplantae; Streptophyta; Magnoliopsida; Poales; Poaceae. The record is from RNAcentral.
AUGUCUGUAGGCAUCUUGGUAUGGAAUGUGAGGGGACUUAAUAAUCCCGCACGGCGAGCGUCCAUUAGGAUGUUCCUGCAAUCCUGCAAUGUUUCGCUUGUUUGUUUGCAAGAAUCUAAAUUGGAAGUGGUGGACGUGUCGGUGGUGUUGGCCAGACCUUGGGGCCGGGCUUCGAUGGCUUUGAGUAUUUGCCAGCCAUGGGCACCAGGGGGCAUUCUUGUGGCAUGGAAAUCGGAUUUGCUGUGGGUUUCGGUGAUAAACAAAGGAGAAUUCUCAAUCACAAGCAACAUCACUUCUCUUGAGAAUGGCAGGGAAUGGGUGUGCACCUCUGUGUAUGGGCCGCAAGCUUUGGAGGACAAGGUGAGGUUCCUGCAGGAAAUUGAGCUUAUUGGGCAAUAA